Molecule: non-coding RNA, 357 nt
Organism: Pelobates cultripes (western spadefoot toad)
Lineage: Eukaryota; Metazoa; Chordata; Amphibia; Anura; Pelobatidae
Source: the annotation of a GenBank genome assembly
AAUAAAGAUUUUUUUUCAAAAAAACUGACUCCUGCACUUGCAGGCUGCAUUUGUGAGUAUGAUCAUUACCUCCUACGUAUGAUAUAAAGGUGUGGAACUUCACUAUUAUUUUAUAUCUUCUUUUAUCCUGAGAUAGUAUAAAGAAGAAAAUAUUACAACCAUACCCACACCACCAAAGAUCCAAAACAGACCAAUCAGCGAUGCAUACCAGAGCUAGGUCAUAUAUCUCUUGAAAUUGUGAGUGUUUAAUUGGCAAUUUUACAUACUAAAAGAUGUUUUAAAGUAUUUACAUUAUUGCACUUUAAUUUUAUGUUUAAAUGGAAACAUACCUGAUUAAAGUUGUUUGUAAAAAAAAAA